CCUACGGGAGGCAGCAGUGAGGAAUAUUGGUCAAUGGACGAGAGUCUGAACCAGCCAAGUAGCGUGAAGGAUGACUGCCCUAUGGGUUGUAAACUUCUUUUAUAUGGGAAUCAAAAGUUCCACGUGUGGGAUUUUGUAUGUACCAUAUGAAUAAGGAUCGGCUAACUCCGUGCCAGCAGCCGCGGUAAUACGGCGGAUCCGAGCGUUAUCCGGAUUUAUUGGGUUUAAGGGGAGAGUAGGUGGAUUGUUAAGUGAGUUGUGAAAGUUUGCGGCUCAACCGUAAAAUUGCAGUUGAAACUGGCAGUCUUGAGUACAGUAGAGGUGGGCGGAAUUCGUGGUGUAGCGGUGAAAUGCUUAGAUAUCACGAAGAACUCCGAUUGCGAAGGCAGUUCACUGGACUGCAACUGACACUGAGGCUCGAAAGUGUGGGUAUCAAACAGGAUUAGAUACCCCAGUAGUC
Molecule: ribosomal RNA, 460 nt
Filed under: uncultured bacterium
Lineage: Bacteria
Description: partial 16S ribosomal RNA
Rfam family: Bacterial small subunit ribosomal RNA
Source: RNAcentral